Papaver somniferum (opium poppy) is the source of this 882-nucleotide long non-coding RNA. RefSeq lists it as uncharacterized. The transcript has 3 exons. Lineage: Eukaryota; Viridiplantae; Streptophyta; Magnoliopsida; Ranunculales; Papaveraceae. The record is from RefSeq and is a predicted model, not a curated record.
AUUCUAUUCUGAUUCUCGUAUUAACCUCUCUUAAUUGGAUAUACAUCUGUCUGUAUUGAUUCUACGGCUUGACAAGGGUUCAGAAUUCUAUUGACACGAUGGGGUUAACUCAAUCGCCAAAUAGGGGAUUAACAGUAUUCAACCUUGGCUGCUUCGCACUGGGGAUUACUUUCAUGACAGUUGGUAUUCAUUAUUCCUACAAAAAUGUUGCCCCUCAACAGGCUAGAGCCAAAGCUCGGAGUGAACUCCUCAGAGCACAUCUUAUGAAGAGAUUCGGCGAGGAUGUAAUCCCUGCAGUUUUUCGUAAUCCACCUCACUCAGUAUCGGAUUCCUCUGGUUCCGUCUCUGAUUCACAACCCAGUAGUGAUUGUUGAAGCCGGUUUGGAUACUGAUUCCAUUCAUUACAAGGGGGGAUGAAUAGGUGUCCAUUUGGCUGUUUAGGGAGUUUUUAUCCCUUUUGGAAUGAGAAGCCAGUAAUCAAGUCCGAGACGUGGAGAGGGUAAAUUGGGACUGAGAAAGCUGUGAUGAAAGCAAAGAGGGUGUUGAUAUAAUUUCUGAGGAUUUCUUAUUUACAUGGACAAUAUUCUAGACUUGGUGCUCAUUUGGCCAUCAUUCAAGACUUGGUGCUCAUUCGAAGAAUUGAUGUUGCUGCUGAACCUGGUCAGUCUGAUGAAAUUCUUACUCAUUUACUUUAGCAAAUUUAGUGUGAAAAAAUACAAGUCCUGGAAUUGAUAAAAGUUGUGAUGUAUUAACAUAUAGGAAUCUUGCUCUCCUUGAGAUUUCAAUUACUACAGACAACCUAUUAAUUUUACUGGUGGUAGGAGUGCAGGCAACUUUCAUUCUGAUAGAGGUUCAGGCGUUUUACCAUCUGCUUCCUUUCCA